This is a non-coding RNA of Myodes glareolus (Bank vole), 810 nucleotides long. NCBI's taxonomy places the organism in Eukaryota, Metazoa, Chordata, Mammalia, Rodentia, Cricetidae. The record is from RefSeq and is a predicted model, not a curated record.
UCCAGAUAGGUGGAUGAUUUUCCUUCCUGGAGCCAGGCAUACCUUGAAGCAGUCUGACAGCAACCACAUGUAUGCCUUCUAUGGUUUUGAAAGACACAAACAGGGGCAGCCUUUGUCCUCCCUGCAGAGUUCUCUGAUAGAUCAGACUGAUUAGAAAUGGCUAGAAAAGUGCAACACUGUCUUCCUUUCCGGUGCUUCUGAUAACUCUAGAUCGGUUCCUAACAGGGCAGUCAGAGUCACUGCCAGUCCCCGUCUGCCUAACUCUACUGCUAAUUCCCUAUGAUUCACGUUGUGUUGUUUCUUGAGUGUUCCAGUCUCUUAGCAGCAAAAUGUGGAAGGUAGAAGAACAAUAGAAUUCUGGGUAUUUUACAAAAUAAUCCCCGUGGAACAGAAUGACUUUGCCAGUCUGGGCUACUUUGCUCUCUGAAUGGUCUGUGGAAGAGAAAGACAUCCUACAGGAAGUGAAAAUAAAGAAUAUUUCUUGGUUCCCUGGCCAUUUUCAAGCAUUGUGCAUGUGUGUCAAAAUGGAAGCCGGUGAGCCUAGCAACAGCACCAAGAGUUGAGGCAGCGCUGCUGCCAUGGAAUGGGCAGGCUGAGCCCUGAUCCACGAGGAUUAGGAGUUAACCUCACUCAAAUGGAACACAGGGAUUCAAAGGCUGGAGAAAAGACUUCCAUGGUUUUCCAACACAAACCUGAGAAGAUAAUUAAACAGAUGGCAACAAUAAACCGAAUCGGAACACAUCAGGGAGUGAAGUCCCUUAUUAAAGCCUUGCAAGCCGAAGAGAGGGAAGAGAGGAAAGUAAAAUCCAA